GAUUGAACGCUGGCGGCAUGCCUUACACAUGCAAGUCGAACGGCAGCACGGGGGCAACCCUGGUGGCGAGUGGCGAACGGGUGAGUAAUGCAUCGGAACGUGUCCUCUUGUGGGGGAUAACCAGUCGAAAGAUUGGCUAAUACCGCAUGAGAUCGAGAGAUGAAAGCGGGGGACCCGAGGGUAACUUCGGGCCUCGCGCGAGAGGAGCGGCCGAUGCCGGAUUAGCUAGUUGGUGGGGUAAGAGCCUACCAAGGCGACGAUCCGUAGCUGGCCUGAGAGGACGACCAGCCACACUGGGACUGAGACACGGGCCCAGACUCCUACGGGAGGCAGCAGUGGGGAAUUUUGGACAAUGGGCGCAAGCCUGAUCCAG
Molecule: ribosomal RNA, 373 nt
Filed under: uncultured bacterium
Lineage: Bacteria
Description: bacterial SSU rRNA
Rfam family: Bacterial small subunit ribosomal RNA
Source: RNAcentral